This is a long non-coding RNA of Pezoporus flaviventris, 452 nucleotides long. RefSeq lists it as uncharacterized. Lineage: Eukaryota; Metazoa; Chordata; Aves; Psittaciformes; Psittacidae. The record is from RefSeq and is a predicted model, not a curated record. The transcript is spliced from 2 exons.
GGGGCUCUGGGUCUUGUCCAAAGAUCCUAACAGGCUUUUACCAAUGGAUUUUUACAGUGUACUGACAAUGACUGGAGAACACCCUGGGAUGAAGAGUCCAGCCCUACCAUGGUUAAUGCGGGCACAAGUGAUGCAGGAGUGACGCAGAAAGAUCUGCAAUUCAGCUGUCACCUUGUUUGUGCCUGUUGAAGCAGCUGUAUCAAAGCUCAUGUAACACUGGGGAGGGGGCAAGGCUUGUUGUCAGCAUUUAGGUCUGAAAAACUGGAAAUGAUGGGUCCUGUCACACAGAUUCCAAAUUGAACUAAAAUCCUUUCAAAUUAAGACAAAAAACAUCUACAAAUCAAAAGGCCGAAUUCUGAAACGUGUGAUGGGUUAUACCCAAGUGAGUAAUGCCACGCCAUUGCUUCCUGCCAGUCCAAUGACUCUUCUGGAUGGGGUGAGUCAGCCAAGGA